CAGCAGAUGUUGCUCGGUGUAAGAUGGAGCUCAGAAAAGAUGAUGCUCACAGCAAGAUUGAGCUCAGAGUGAUUGGCACACCAAACAUUGCUCUGAGCCAUUGGAAUUAGGAGUAGAUCAUGCUUAGAGCAAGAUGGUGCUGAGAGUGAUUGGAGCUCUGAGCAAGCUGGAGCUUGGAGAAGAUGGAGCUCAGAAAAAGUGAUGCUUAGAGUAAAAGAUGGAGCUCCGAGCAGAUGAUGCUCAGAGCAAAAUGGAGCUCAGAGUGAUUGGAGCUCCAAGCCAGCUGGAGCUCAGAGCAGAUGGACUUGGAAAAGGGACACAUCAUUUAUGGUAUAUUUCAUUCAUUCAUGGUGAACUUUUUAAACAGCACAGACAUUAUUUAGACAUCAUUUGGGAAAAAAAAACACUCAGCAUUUAUCUUUUGCAGUCUUACAGAAGGAAAUUCUAGCAGAUUUUAGUACCAAACUUCCAGUGAAGGAACAGACCAGAUGUUUAUUGGCCACAUAUUCUAUGAUGCCAGUCCUAGAAUCACCUUGCAAUGGAAAGUUUAAUGACAGUUUAGGUCUCAACAGAAUACAUAAUCCAAGAGAAGACUUAAGGAUUCCUACGUCAAGCUGAUUGUCUUCAAAUAUCAGAAUGGAGAACUACUUGUCAAAGGACAACCAAGUCCCUAUAUGUCUCCUCUGGACAGCACGGGUGAAAUCUUCUAAGAGACAACAAUCGUCAAAACCUCCUCACCAUGACAGCAAGCAAGGAGGAGGGACCCUGAAGACCCUCGAUGCUCUUUUCUGCAGGAAGUAGCUACAGAGAAUGAUGUCUGCCCCAUCUCCCAAAAGAUUUCUCAGUCCCAGCCACUUGAGGGAGAAUGUAAGAGGAGUGGACAGUCAGAUAUGAGCAGGCGCAAGAGGGAGGUAUCCAUGUUGGAAAGAACCCCCCAGAACACCUAUUUGGAUGCUCUGUACUCCAUCUUCAAACUGUCAGAAUGUUGUUAACUAGAUCAUGAUAAGGAAAAAAGGCAAAGGGGUAUUCCUGAGAGAUGAGCAGACAUAACGAGUACAAAAUUGACUGCUAUACCUUCCCAGGGUGGUGGCAAUAUACAGUGCCACCAUUAGGUAGGAUUCAUGUUGAUUAAUGCUUCCCAUGCAUGUGCAUUAAGCACAGUAAGGGAGGAUCCCCCGAACUUUGGUGAGAACUGGGCAAAGAAAUAACUGAGGCAAUCGAAUAUAACAAUGCAGAAUGUCAUGGGGAUGUUUCCAGCAGGGUCAGCCCCCUCCUCUCUUGGAGUGUAUUUGUACUUUCCCAAUAAAACUUUUCUUUAUUUAUAAAU
Sapajus apella (tufted capuchin) is the source of this 1327-nucleotide long non-coding RNA. RefSeq lists it as uncharacterized. The transcript has 2 exons. The record is from RefSeq and is a predicted model, not a curated record. Lineage: Eukaryota; Metazoa; Chordata; Mammalia; Primates; Cebidae.